CAAUGCGAUCCCUUACAUUCCUAUGUAUUUUGGACAUUAUUUUUGAGACAUUUUGUAAGGAGUUGACUCAGCUUUUGGACACACUUGAUGAGUGGCCCGCUUUUAUUUCAGAAUUAGAAGAUUUUAACACUUUAAAGUAUAGCUUUUCUCGUUUUUCCAUAUCUUUUAUUCUACGUUUAAACAAUGUCGGUGCUGAUUGUCUCGCCAAAAAGGCAAGAGCACAAGAUUCUAUCUUUUCCCAUGUAAGCUUAUUUACUCCAGACUGAUUUUCUCCUAAAAAACCCGCCCAUUUGUAAUUUAAAUGCAUGAACUUAUUUUGCUGUCAAAAAAAGGAAG
RNAcentral lists this small RNA (336 nucleotides) under Arabidopsis thaliana (thale cress). Its description in RNAcentral is "ATSL098130". Lineage: Eukaryota; Viridiplantae; Streptophyta; Magnoliopsida; Brassicales; Brassicaceae. The record is from RNAcentral.